UUUUUUUUUAUUUAAUUAUUAUUUUAUCUCCCCCUCUUCUUCAGCUCGUGCGCACCACAACCAAAAAAAAAUAAAUAAAAAAAAGAAGAAGAAGAACCCUCGCCGCCGCUCGCCCUGCACGUUCGUCGACUCCAAUCACCCCUGAUCGCCGCCGUCUGGAUCCGCUCAAAUAUGAGGGCGAACGCGCAGCCCAGCGCCAGUUGUUCGCCUCUUCGCGCCGCCAACCCGUCGUUCGUCUUCCAGCCGUCAGAUCUGUGGUGCAGCAUUAGAUUCGACGUCUAGCUGCCCAGCCACGCAGGCUUCUUCUGGCCACUGCUCGUCGCACUGUCGCUGGAGACCACGCGGUGCCUGACCUCUCUCUUUCGUUCGCCACCAUCUUGUCGGUUUUUGAGUGUUGAGACUGGUUGGGUAAAGGUAGAGAUGCACCAGCGAUUGACAAGUGGAAUUCAUGAUCCAGCCACUGGACCAGUGUUAUGCUUCCGCUCAUGAUGUUUAGAUUUCUUUCCAUGUUUUUUUCAAUUUUCAGUUUUGCUGUUUGAAACUUAAACUUACUAUUAAGAGUUGUUUUCAGACUUAUUAUUAUCA
Molecule: long non-coding RNA, 585 nt
Organism: Benincasa hispida (wax gourd)
Lineage: Eukaryota; Viridiplantae; Streptophyta; Magnoliopsida; Cucurbitales; Cucurbitaceae
Source: RefSeq, a predicted model, not a curated record